CCUCCUUGGCACGGCCUGUGCACCCCUGACACCGCCUGCGCCUUUCUGCACGCCGGCGCCUCCCUGGGUUUUCGGCGACAGCGAAGGAGUGUGUGGCUGCAGCCGCGCCCCCAGCCUGUGGGCAGCCGCACCACCGCCCUUAAGUGCGUGUCUCCGGUAAGGCAUUUAGCUAGAAGGGGCUUCUGUUCCCCACUUCAAGCCACCACUUUCAAAUCCCUCGAAAAAUCAACCACAGCAACCACUUAAAAAUGAAAAAAAUAACUCUGAUAAAGUACAAUUUCCUUCCUUUCGAUUUAUGUCUGGAUAGAAGGCCAACGCUGUCAGAGCACACCCUGUGCCGGUCACAUAAGCUGCUGCAGGAGGCUCCUGUGUCGGGGGUCCCCAUUCUUCACCCUCCGCAGAUGCAUCCCCUUCUCCACGUGGAGACUCCUCAGUUCCUUCCAUUGAAGAGACAGCACUGCCUCUCUGGACCCUUGACUCUGAGUCAGGCCAUGUGACUUGUUCUGGUCAAUGGGAUGCCUGCUGCUGUGACACCUGAGGAGGCUCAGGACAGACUUGUGUUUUUCUGUGCCACUGUUACGAGCGUGUGCCUGGGCUCUGGCUGAGGGAUGAGGUGUGAGGCGAAUCAUUCCAGAUGGGGCCACCCUGGACCAUCCAGCAGCAGCUUCUCUGGACAGGUGCCUUCGUUUGCAAGAUGGUGCCAUUUGUCCAGGCUACGGCCAUCGUGGCAGAAAUUCUCACCAUGACCCGCAUUGCUGUGGAAACUUGUGCAUCCUUUUAAGACGAAGCGGCAAUACACCCACCGAAGGGCGUUCACGACGCUGGGUGUGGUCUGGUUGGUGGCAGUCAUCGUGGGAUCACCCAUGUGGUACGUGCAACAACUUGAGGUAGAUGUAGACUCGAGACUGGGAUCGAUAAUCUUAUUGUUCAACUAUUUUCUCCUCCUAACAAUAAACAUUUUCCUUCCUGCAAGAGUA
Molecule: long non-coding RNA, 977 nt
Organism: Lemur catta (Ring-tailed lemur)
Lineage: Eukaryota; Metazoa; Chordata; Mammalia; Primates; Lemuridae
Exons: 5
Source: RefSeq, a predicted model, not a curated record